RNAcentral lists this long non-coding RNA (543 nucleotides) under Heterocephalus glaber (naked mole-rat). RNAcentral's name for it is "lncRNA (ENSHGLG00100040453.1)". The record is from RNAcentral. Lineage: Eukaryota; Metazoa; Chordata; Mammalia; Rodentia; Bathyergidae.
CUGGUGGACCUGAGUGGGGGGGCGAGUUCUUCUCAUCCUGUCCUGGUGGCUGGUGGCAAACUGGUGGAGCAAGCCAGAGCAAGCAGGUCCCAGUCAGCCUGCAACCGCUUGGCCCCACUCCGCCCCGCUGGCUCAGUUUGGCCCAGCCGUCAGCUGGUGGGCCUGCCCGGGGAGGUCCUCUUCACCCUGUCCUGGUGGCUGGUGAGUUGGGGCUUUCAGAGGUGAUUGGAUCAGGAAGGUUCUAACUUCUCCAGUGGAUGAAUCCCCUGAUGAGACCAGAAUUUGAUGGCAUUACAGGGAAGAAAUGGAAGGUGUGAUAAAAAUACAUAAAUUCUGCUGCCAAGUGCCUGCCAGUGGACAGGCAGGAUCAUAAAAACACUAUGGUGUGUCUUCAUCCCCCAUAGUCACUGGAUCUGGUGCUGUGCCAGUUCUGGCUCUUCCCAAAGUCAAAAUGACCAGGAAAGGUGUUAACAUAGUGUUGCUGGGCUGGGUGUGGUGGCACACACCUGUGAUCUCAGCACUGGACAGGCUGAGAGAAGAAGA